RNAcentral lists this ribosomal RNA (376 nucleotides) under Sphaerodactylus molei. RNAcentral's name for it is "partial 12S ribosomal RNA". It matches the Rfam family "Bacterial small subunit ribosomal RNA", at positions 793 to 1388 of the family's 1533-position model. Lineage: Eukaryota; Metazoa; Chordata; Lepidosauria; Squamata; Sphaerodactylidae. The record is from RNAcentral.
UGCCCAGCCAUUAACCGAUUAUCAUAUACAAAUAAUCCGCCAGAGAAUUACGGGCAACAGCCUAAAACUCCAAGGACUUGACGGUGUCUUACACAACCUAGAGGAGCCUGUCCUAUAAUCGAUACCCCACGCUUUACCUCACCUUUUCUAGAAACUCCAGCCUAUAUACCGCCGUCCCCGUUCACCCCAUGAGGGGCCGUGAACAAAAUACUUCAACCACUAAAACAUCAGGUCAAGGUGUAGCACAUGAACAGGAAGAGAUGGGCUACAUUCUUUUUCAAGCAUACCACAACAAUAUGAAACAAGCGCCACAAGGUGGAUUUAGCAGUAAAACGGACAAGAGUGUCCGAUUGAAGAAGCUCUAAGACACGCACAC